This is a non-coding RNA of Acanthosepion pharaonis, 102 nucleotides long. NCBI's taxonomy places the organism in Eukaryota, Metazoa, Mollusca, Cephalopoda, Sepiida, Sepiidae. The record is from the annotation of a GenBank genome assembly.
UUACGGCCAUAUCACGUUGAAACACCGCUUCCCGUACAAUCACUGAAGUUAAGAAAGGUCGAGCAUGGUCAGUACGUAGAUGGACAACCACUUAGGAAUACC